Molecule: ribosomal RNA, 484 nt
Filed under: uncultured bacterium
Lineage: Bacteria
Description: partial 16S ribosomal RNA
Rfam family: Bacterial small subunit ribosomal RNA
Source: RNAcentral
GAUUAACGCUAGCGGCAGGCAUAAUACAUGCAAGUUGAACGGCAGCACAGGUAGCAAUACUGGGUGGCGAGUGGCGCACGGGUGCGUAACACGUAUGCAACCUACCCUAUACAGGCGAAUAACCUUUAGAAAUGAGGGCUAAUACGCCGUAGUAUUACAGAUGGGCAUCUAUUUGUAAUUAAAGAUUUAUCGGUAUAGGAUGGGCAUGCGUCCCAUUAGUUAGUUGGUAAGGUAACGGCUUACCAAGACGAUGAUGGGUAGGGGAUCUGAGAGGACUUACCCCCACACUGGUACUGGGCCACGGACCAGACUCCUACGGGAGGCAGCAGUAAGGAAUAUUGGGCAAUGGCCGCGAGGCUGACCCAGCCAUGCCGCGUGCAGGAAGACGGCCUUAUGGGUUGUAAACUGCUUUUAUACGGGAAUAAUAGAGUGUACGCGUACAUUUAUGCAAGUAUCGUAUGAAUAAGCAUCGGCUAACUCCGUG